RNAcentral lists this ribosomal RNA (459 nucleotides) under uncultured bacterium. RNAcentral describes it as "partial 16S ribosomal RNA". It matches the Rfam family "Bacterial small subunit ribosomal RNA", at positions 338 to 795 of the family's 1533-position model. The record is from RNAcentral.
CCUACGGGGUGCAGCAGUGAGGAAUAUUGGUCAAUGGGCGGGAGCCUGAACCAGCCAAGCCGCGUGAAGGAAGAAGGUACAGCGUAUCGUAAACCUCUUUUGUCAGGGAACAAAGGCGGCGACUAGUCCCCGGAUGAGGGUACCUGAAGAAAAAGCAUCGGCCAACUCCGUGCCAGCAGCCGCGGUUAUACGGAGGAUGCGAGGGUUAACCGGAUUUUUUGGGUUUUAAGGGUGAGCAGGGGGCAUGUUAAGUCAGCGGUAAAAGCACGGGGGCCAACCCCGGCGAGCCGUUGAAACGGGCGGGCUGGAGUUGGAGAGAAGUACGCGGAAUGCGCGGUGUAGCGGUGAAAUGCUUAGAUAUCGCGCAGAACCCCGAUUGCGAAGGCAGCGUACCGGCUCCACACUGACGCUGAGGCACGAAAGCGUGGGUAUCGAACAGGAUUAGAUACCCGUGUAGUC